This 57-nucleotide non-coding RNA is filed under the name unclassified sequences. RNAcentral describes it as "S15-Flavobacteria ribosomal protein leader". It matches the Rfam family "S15-Flavobacteria ribosomal protein leader". The record is from RNAcentral.
UAUAUUUGCGCCGCUAUUUAUAGCAUACAUAAUAAUCAUUUAAAUAAUAUUGGAAUG